Molecule: long non-coding RNA, 3500 nt
Organism: Bombus impatiens (common eastern bumble bee)
Lineage: Eukaryota; Metazoa; Arthropoda; Insecta; Hymenoptera; Apidae
Exons: 3
Source: RefSeq, a predicted model, not a curated record
CUAAACUCAUUUCUAUUUUCUAUUUGCAUGCGCCGGCAUCGCCACGACAAUUUUAUACGUCUGCGAUAUUUCGAGGAGUCGGCGUUAGCCUGUCCCGUGUCUUCCGCCGAAACCACGUAAGCGUAGAUCUAUUUGCUGAUCGAGAAGAAAGAAAGUUCAUCGACAGGUCGAACAGAGAGCAGCCGAUAACCACAAAGCCGGAGCCCUUCGAUUCUUGUUGCGAUUUUACGGGCUCGUGGCCGAUAAUGCGAACGUAACGGACGGUCUGGCUCGCGUUUCCGCCGGAGUGUAAUCGUAUUCGAUCGAGCAAUUAGUAGCAUGGAGCGGCCAUUAAGCACUGCUAUUCUCCACGUGAACGUCACGCGGCCACUUUGCACGGCUGUGUUCGUAACCAUUACAGUUGUAAUCGCAUUUACCUGGCGCUCGCGCGCGAGCCAUCGUACGCGUAUAAACGCGAUAAGAAUCGCGCGUCGUAUCGCCCUUAUGGAAUUCUUCUUGCGCAAUUACUCGCGAGACGCCAACUCGAACUCCUUCGAACCAACGUUAUGUAAAAGAAUACAUUGAUCUUUUCGUUUCGAAAUUAACCAAGCGACUUCCUUUCUCCGUACGUGACGUUUCUCACUUCCGACGCUCCGAUAAAGGUAUCGAAUAAUUCGCUCGACUAUAGCGAAAUAAUUUCGAAAGUUGUCCGAGCUAAUAAAAUAAUCUCGCAAGCACGUUUCUUACGACGCAACGCGUCCCUUCUGCGAUCGAGGCGUAGACGAAAAUUCGCUUCGGCGUAGACGUUUCGCGAAUUGACGUUGCGUUUCGUUGAACAGCGACGUCGUGUAGCUUUUUAACGGUACAAAAACUCGUAGCGUUCGACUCAAAGAGAGAACGACGAACGACGAGGAAAAGACGGAGCAAUCGAUCGGCUGUGCCGGAGCGGUAGAGAGAGAUAAAGAGCGUAGAUGCGGAUCCGUCGAGCGGAUUUUUAUCGUGCACGCGUCACGCGUAAUAUUCGCUGGCUGGAACAAGGAAAUAGAGGUAAAGUCUAAGACAAGGAACAAGAGAGUCAGCCAUUUUAUGAAACGGCAGAGCUGCCUCGUCUCGUUGCCAUGAGAGCGCGCCACGUUCAGAUCUUUUGGCGAAAAACUACGAGACGAUUUUAUAACCGAGACGUCAGCUUCGAGAUUUCUCGUUGAAAUUUCGCGUAAUUUUCCGACAUCGAUCGACGAACAGACCAAAAACGAAAUUAGGAUCGUUCCCUCUGCUCUGCCUCAAAUCGCAGCCAACUUGCGCGCUUUCGUCGAUUCUACGCGUCUUUGCUUGCCAUUCGCCGAGUAUAUUUUAGUUAUUUUUCCAUCGUGCCUCGUUAUUCCGUGCUAGCUACCACGAUAACACGAUAUCCUUUUUCCCGCGUUUCCGUUUGUUUUUGUUUCCGUUUUUGUAGUCAUUUCCGCUUCCGGUUUCGUUUUCAUUUGGCCGUCUGCGUCGUGGCUCGUUUCUUUUUUUCCACGAGGAGACAACGUGGCGAGCGUAGUCGUGGAAACGGGACGAUCUUCGGCCUCAUGUUCGUUCUUCCGAGUAAGUUUUAGUCGCACGUUCGAUCCACUUGCGCUCGAUAACGUUUCAUCUUUUCAAUCCGUAAUUUCCGUGUUUUCCGACCUCGUGGCUUCCCCUUCCCUUCUUUUCCCUUCCCUUCCCUUUCCUCUGCCGUCUUUACGCGCACGCUUCACUGUGUCGCGAAGGUGGCAGAUGGACGAAAAGAGAAACCAAUAGCAGGAGAAGGUCGAACAGAGAGGGAGAUGACUUGUUGUAGGAAGAAGGAAGGAAAAGCGAGCGAACUGGGACCCGAGCGAGAAAGAACAGAAGGAACGAAGCGGGAGACGGGUGGGAGCGAGCGAGCAUCGACAGGGGGAAGGGGAGAAAGAGAGAGAUAGAACAGGGAAUCCACGAGCGAUCGACUGCCCUAGUCAGUCCUCGUCCGUCUGCCGGUCGGUCGUUUACGUUUAUGUUUGACAGCUUGUGAAUUCGCGUCACUCGAGCUUCGACCAGCCAGUGCUUCGUCUGUGUGUGUGUGGAUGUGUAUGUGUGCCGUCUCAUCUACCUUGCACGCUCGAUUAAAAAAAUGAAUUCCUUCUCGACCGACUUGCCGAUAUUAAUCGAGACUUUUCUCUUUUUCCUGGAUCGUUCGAUAUUUCGAAUCGAUGCCUCGCAUCCACAUUUUCCGAUGAUUUUAAAAGACACUUUUAUCCGUUCACCGCUGAUUACCGGACUUCGACGAUUCUUCGAUUUUCAAAGGAGAAGAAGAUCUCGGAUAGAAAGUCGUAAGAAAUGUUUGGCUGAGAAUGUCUGUUAGCUGUUUAAAGCCACGUUCCACGCAGUUGAUAGAGAGUCGCGCGAGUAUACGCGUGCCAGAAGCAAGAUGAUGAAACUGAGAAAGUUAGAAAAUGACGGAGUUGAUCGCAGGCUUCUGAGAGUUGGCUACCUACCGUUUGGAACAUGCAGCAACAGCAGGCGAGAAAAAGUUGUUGGUCGUUGGUUGGCUCGGUGAGGACGCAGCUUAAUAGACGCAGGAUCACGCGUCGAAAGUUUCGGACGAUCAGUGAACUUGAAAGCGGUACCAUGAUGAAUCCGCGAAAGUAGGAGCAACGACCACGCGAAGGGAAUGCUGUUCGACUUCCACGCGCUCACGUUACGUGACAAUAUGCCCCCGAAGCUCCGUUUUCUGGCUAAACUACCGAUGCGAACGAUGCCAUCGUGCGCGCGCGCUAAUCGUUCGUAGAAAGUUCAGCAACCUCUGCCGACGUUUCGUCUCGUGGCCCUCUUUCUCCUUCCUUGCCUCUCUCGAUAGCCAACUACUUCGAUCGGCGUACCGAACGUAUUUAACGCUCGAUUCCAUGACGAGCUUCCUGUGCCACGGAACGAGCUGCCAUUCCUCACCAAUACCGUCGCUACGUUAGAACGUGUCGCGAAUUUCGUGGAACGGUGAACGGUCGACCUUGUAAGCCCGACUAGAAAGCUAUACACAGGGUGUUCCAGUAUCGAUGGUAGAAUCGAGGAGGGGCUGGUUCCGUAUUUAAAAAAUAGAUCGAAAAUAUAGAAUACAUUUUUUUUUUCUUUUUUUAUUUCGGGCUUGGAAAUCAUUUGAGACUCGAUUUUCGAGAAAACUGACUUUCAAAGCCUGGUUUUAAAGAAAGUAGAAUUUUCACCGCGUUUGAUUAAGAAUUGGGUUGGCUCACGCGUGUUCGAUCAAGUUUCGAGUUUCAUUUUCUCGUAAACGAAACAUCCUACGAAAAGUAUUUAUUGUCUACAUUUUUUACUUAUUUUCAUACGUAGAACAGAUUCUUGUCGAUUCUUCGCUUUCAUCCAGACCGGAAUUAGCCAAGUUUCGAUGCUUUUGACGAAUCUUCAAAUACGAUUUUUGUCGAAUACGAAGCAAAGUCUCGAUAGCGUGAUCGCUCGGAUAAAAUCUUAUUCUACAGGGUGCUUGGUAACUGGUGGUACAAGCGCAAAGG